UCUAUAAGCCCGUGAUCUGAAACAACCGGAAGCCCGUGAAGUCAAGUACACACAAAUCGCAUACGUCAUUCAAUGUACUUUCUCUUUUAAAUAGCAGCCGCGUUCUCGAUAUAAACAUUGUAUCUGUAAAGCUUAUGCGAGACGUUAUUGCGAUGACAUAACUUAUUGACAGAUACAGUUGCAGUUUUUGUAUAGUAAGAGAAGACGAAAAGUUCAUUCGAGGUUGGGUUUCGUCAGAAGAAAUUCUUCAGCAAGUCAUCGAAGCGCAUUCAAUACGUAAACACAGGAUGACAACGUGUUUCAGGGUCAAUAUAGCUCUUAGUAUAAAUUCAAAGAUCCGUAAAACAACAUUCUGGAGAAGCUGUUCAAUUGAAAGAGUAUUCAAUGUACCGACUGCCAUUUGAAGAAACAGACAAACAGGAAUAUCUAUGAAGAGGAUAAAGAAGAAUAAAUAAAUUUGAUCUGUGUUCUGUGCAUUUGAUUCAAGAUUGGCAGUCUGAAUGGCCAAGUUUGAAAAUAAUUAGUGCAAUAUAUCUAAAGAAAUUAUUUUGUGAAAAAUGCUACCUAAUAUCUACAUGUUAGCAGGGUAACACAGUAAAGUGAGUUGUAUAUAAUGACAAUUUAAUAAUUAUUAAUAAUUGUUAAUCUUCGAUGUAUAUGUAUUAUAUCAUAUAGGUCUCUGGAGCAAUUUUUCUCUAACCUGAGCCAAAGUCUCAAGCUUUUCUAAUCAUGAUUUGUCCGUUUUCUGUCAUUGUUCUUGUUGUUGUCAUUAACUUUCCACAUUUUCAUCUUCUUACCCAGAACAACUGGGCAAGUCUAACCAAACUUGGCCCAAAUCAUCACUGGGUAAAGAGGACUAGAUGUUUUUUUUCAAAUGAAGGGUCCAUGCCCUCUUAAAAUUUGUUGGUAUUUUUCAAAAUUCUUCUGAGACACCAUUUGGCCAGAAAAGCUCAAAUAUGUGUGGAAGCAUAAUAUUUACUGUGAAAGAAAUUUCCAGAGCUUACUUCCAUGUAACACAGCUAAAGUGAAAAAGAAAUCAAUUUUUGGAGCACUUCCUCUGAUGACUGAAAGUUUAUCGGUUCAAACAAACCAUGUUAAACAUAUAUAUCUACAUAUAUGUACAUAAUUCUACCUUUCCACAAAAUUUUGUUGUUUAAGUAUCUGCAAAAUCUGAGAAAAAGAGAAAAAUCUUCUAACAAAUACCAUUACAAAAAAAUUUGAUAUUUACCAUUAUUAUUAUUUUUACUUUAUAUGCUAUUUGAAUCUAUUUGAAUUUGGCACUGUAGUGUUGAUUUGAUCAGUUAUGGCUUUUGUUGCUCAGGUGAGCGAUGUGGCCCCUUGGCCUUUUGCUUCUUCAGCAGUACAAUAAACUUGUUGAAAAAAGUUUGUAUAGUAUAUGUAUAUAUGUAUUGUUUCGUAAGACUUAUGCCCUGUAUGAUAAUGUAAACUUUUCUAAAAUGCAUAUCUUAUAAAAUGGAUUUCAGUACACUAGUUUAAGGUGAAGGCCCCUUUCCAAUCUACGAUAUUGUAUUUAGUUCAGUUCAUCAAUGUAACUUAAAUAAACAUAAAUAAUAAAACUUGCUUCAUUAUUGUUUAAAUCUUGUUUUAAAAAUAAGAGUGCUACUAAAUUCAUGAGCCUUAUAUCUCGUACUAAAUAGAGUGUGGGUGAGUUCACAGGCCUCAUAUCUUGUACCAUAUAUAGGUGUCGAUGAGUUCACGGGCCUUAUAUUAUAUAGAGUGUCGAUGAGUGCAUGGGCCUUAUAUCUUGUAAAAUAUAGAGUGUCGAUGAGUUCACGGGCCUCAUAUCUUGUACCAUAUAGAGUGUUGAUGAGUUCACGGGCCUCAUAUCUUGUUAUUUAUAGAGUGUCGAUGAGUUCAUGGGCCUCAUAUUAAGUAUUAAAUAGGGUGUUACCGAGUUCACGGGCCUCAUAUCAUGUACCUUAUAGAGUGUCGAUGAGUUCAUGGACUUCAUAUCAAGUACAUGUACUAUAUUGAGUGUUGAUGAGUUCACGGGCCUCAUAUCUGGCAUAUAAUAUAGGGUGUCGAUGAGUUCACGGGCCUCAUAUCUUGUACUAU
This is a long non-coding RNA of Magallana angulata, 2076 nucleotides long. RefSeq lists it as uncharacterized. Lineage: Eukaryota; Metazoa; Mollusca; Bivalvia; Ostreida; Ostreidae. The record is from RefSeq and is a predicted model, not a curated record. The transcript has 3 exons.